This is a long non-coding RNA of Octopus sinensis (East Asian common octopus), 120 nucleotides long. RefSeq lists it as uncharacterized. The transcript has 3 exons. NCBI's taxonomy places the organism in Eukaryota, Metazoa, Mollusca, Cephalopoda, Octopoda, Octopodidae. The record is from RefSeq and is a predicted model, not a curated record.
GUGGGGCCCACGGAAUGAAUAUAUUAGAUUGACGCCAAGUGAAAGUUUUAGAUGGAAAAAUAGGAGUGGAAAUGACGUUUCGAACAUGGCUCUUCAUCAGAAAAAGAGAAAAAUCGGGAG